UUACAACCCCUUUAACGGUAACUUGAGGUUGGAUAAGAAAAUUCUCCGAGAUACUAUAGAGGGUUUGCAAGAUGAUCCAAGUUCUUGAAUUUCCAAAAGAAGUUCGCUCCCUUCAUCAAUUAGACGCUCAUAAUCCGUUCAAGACGGUGUUGAGGAAAUCAAGUUUCCAUCCAAGAAGUUUUAUUGCUUUGAAAAGCACGUUUUUCUCUCCAGUUUGUAUUAAGACGGUCAAUCAAGGGGACUGUUCAGUUGUACGAAAGGAUGCCUUUGGUGAGCGUGAAAAAUAUAAUGCUUUUCCACAUGUACAAACUCUUAGAAACUUUCCCAAGGAGGACCUAUCCAAGAAAGUUGUCAUGGUCAGAUUCGAUCCAAUGAUAUUGGUUCAAGGGAAAAAGGAAGUUCGAACGCCCUUUCCAGAAAAUGCUUUAUACACAAUUAAGUAUUUAUAUGAAGCAGGUGCAAAAGUAAUUCUGGUGAGCUGCUGGAGUGAAACUGCUACUUCCAGGUCUCUUUCAAAUUCAAAUUCAUCAGCUGAAUAUAUUUCAGAUUUUCUGUCGUCAAUGCUACAACUCAAGGUCGUUCCAGUGAAUUAUGCUUCAGGUUAUUUGCAUUCAGAUGAAGAAGAUAUUGCAAGAGAUGUAAUUCUUCUUCUUGAAAACAUUUUUCACUUCAAGGGGGAAAGAUCCAACUGUUCAAACUUUGCCAAAGAGCUUGCAUCUGGUGUUGAUAUACUUGUUAAUGAUGCCUUCUCUGAAUCACAUAAAGUUCUCGCUUCAACUGUUGGCAUUGCUACUUUUUGCUCUGCUUGCAUUGCAGGAUUCUACUUUGAGGAGUGUAUAUAUAAACUGAAGAAUAUCAUGAACACCACUGAAAAGCCUUAUAUGGUCGUCAUAGGCGGGGCCAAACUUGCAGAUAAAGCUGCUGCCAUGAGGUUCUUAGCAUCUACAUGUGAUGGCUUAUUCUUUGUUGGAAAGAUGUCAUUUCAAAUAAUGCAUGCCAUGGGAUGGCCUGUUCCAUUGCACUUGAUUGAAAUUGGCUCGGUAAACGAAGCUAGAGGUAUAGUGGAGGUGGCAAAGUCAAGAAAUAUUCCAGUUGUACUUCCAACUGAUGUUUGGUGCAUCAAGGAACAUACUCGAAUCCAGACCGAACUAUUUUCAGUUUGUUCUAUACCUGAAGGUUGGCAGCCAGUUGAUAUUGGAUCAAGAUCAGUGCACGAAAUGCUAAAUUUACUGUCACAAUGCAAGGGGAAUACUUCUAGAGUGAAGAAAAUAUUGUGGAUUGGCCCAUUGAUUUCGAGCUCUUCAAAACAGGAAAAAGGUGGAACCCUUAAACUUGCAGAAGCACUUGAUGGUCUUAGCAGUUGCAAUGUAACUUUUGCUGGGAAAACAGGAUUCAGUGAAUUCUUGCAGAAAACAAAGUUUCGUUCAAGCAAUAAAUUCUUAAAAAAUGCUGUGGUGCUGUGGGAAGUUCUUAAGGGAAGUAGGCUUCCUGGGCUCAUGGCAUUAGAUAGGGCAUACCCCUUACAGAUAGACUGGAGCGUUGCCUAUAAUGAUCCAACAAGACCUCUGGUUGUAGACAUUGGAAGUGGAAAUGGAUUGUUUUUAUUUGGAAUGUCAACAAGGAUAAAAGAUGUGAAUUUUCUUGGACUAGAGAUAAAUACCAAGCUGGUUGAUCAAUGCGUAAAUAAUGUUCAGCGACUCGCCAGCGAUAAUGUGCACUUUGUUGCAACAAAUGCGACAUCAACCUUCAGGUCUAUAGUUUCUACUUACCCCGGGGAGUUGCAUCUUGUGUCAAUACAGUGUCCAAACCCAGAUUUCAAUAAACCCGAAUACAGGUGGAGAAUGCUGCAGAAGUCCUUGAUUGAAGCAAUAGGUGAUGUGCUCAUGGUUGGUGGAAAGGUAUUUCUUCAAUCGGAUGUACAAGCUGUUGCCCUUAAAAUGAAAAUUGAUUUCCUAAGAUAUGGCAAGGGAAGGCUUGUACUUAUGGAUUCCCCAGAGGAGAGGGUAUGUAAUGAAAAAUCAGGCUGGCUGGAGGAUAAUCCCUUUGGAGUGCCUUCUGAUUGGGAACAACAUGUACUGGAGCGCGGCCAUCCAAUGUACAGAAUUUUGCUUCUUAAAGUGGAAACAGAGGUAAAUGACAAGCCAUAACCUAUACCUGGACAUCCCAUUGGAUAUGAGUUUUGGAUGAGCAAUCUCAUGGGCAGCCUUAUUCAACCUUUUUUUCAUUCAGUUUAUUCUCAAACUAAUGAUGAUUAAACAUUACCUUGAUCAUUGCAACUUUGAUGGUGAUACUACAUGUGAGACAUCAUAAGAGACGGUGGCACGACAAACAAGGUUACUGCUCAACGAAUUACGCAGAGUCAGAUGCUGUUCUCUUGUUUAUGGUAAAUUCAAUUUUAAGCUACUGUUGCCAUCCAUAGUUAUCAUAUAUGCCACAAGCAUGAUGAAGCCUAUUGUUAUUUGCUCUAGGUUUUAGCUAAAUAUAUUAGAGAAUGUGGAUAAUUUGUUGCAAUUCAUAAAAGUUCUGGGUAAUUCCUU
Molecule: RNA transcript, 2537 nt
Organism: Andrographis paniculata
Lineage: Eukaryota; Viridiplantae; Streptophyta; Magnoliopsida; Lamiales; Acanthaceae
Exons: 15
Source: RefSeq, a predicted model, not a curated record